This is a long non-coding RNA of Dreissena polymorpha, 419 nucleotides long. RefSeq lists it as uncharacterized. The record is from RefSeq and is a predicted model, not a curated record. The transcript is spliced from 3 exons. Lineage: Eukaryota; Metazoa; Mollusca; Bivalvia; Myida; Dreissenidae.
GUGGUCUAUAUAGGUUACACACAAUACUGAUUGUGUUUGUUUACAGAUGGUCUUCACUUUCUCUCCAACAUGCCAGUUGCGUCGGCUGUGGGAUCCCUGGUGGGAUCAGUACAAUCAACGGAGCAGUUAAGUUAGUGUUUUAAUAAAGGGCCAGUCAAGAAACAAAUGAAGUUCUCUAUAAAGUCAGAUGAACUUCAGUACUGGCGGAUACAAUAUUUUAAGGGAGAGGUGAAAAAACAGGAACGGGAGAAACAACUACUUGAUAUAAAAAUACGCAUGCUGCUAGCAGAUGAAUAGAGACGUGACAAGAAAGUUGUUGAUGAUUUCAUCAAUUGCACAUAUUUCGAGGACUAAUUAUCAUGGUGACAUUGAGUUAGUUGCCUCAAAGAGAAACCAUUUAACUACAUGUAAAUGAGCAA